Long non-coding RNA from Perognathus longimembris pacificus (Pacific pocket mouse), 1074 nucleotides. RefSeq lists it as uncharacterized. The transcript is spliced from 2 exons. The record is from RefSeq and is a predicted model, not a curated record. NCBI's taxonomy places the organism in Eukaryota, Metazoa, Chordata, Mammalia, Rodentia, Heteromyidae.
GCUAAGCCUCUCCUGGCUUCCUGAAGGCCAGCCAGAGCCGUCUUGUGGACGAAGGCUGUGGCUGUUGUCAGCCAGAAGCAGAAGGCUCUAAAUGGGCCAGCACUGGCACUGUGAAAGGCGUAGCAGAUGCUGGGGUGCGAGCCUGCAUCCAGGGAAUGUUUUAAAGGAUGUCCAGGGAGGUUUGUUGCCCUGCAAGCUCUGGACCUGUUUUGGAACCGUCGGGAGGUCUGUGAGACAGCAGCAGUGCAAUCCCUGUGAGGCCCUGGGGGUCCCGCCCCCCCUCCCGGAGCCCGGCUUUGGUAAGCACUGCCAGGAGCUCCCUGCGAUCCUCUGGGCACUGUGGUCCUGUCACCCCUGGAACCUGCUUUCUGCCCAUCCAAACGGGCCAAGGAGAGGCUCGGCCACCCCUGGCUGCUCUCCAUCUAUGUGAAAAGGACCAGAGGUUCCGCUGAGGUUUUUUUUGACAAAGCCAGGGAAGACUCGGAAGUUCUGAGGACGAAAAGUCAGACUUGGAGACGUGCAAGGAGAGAGGACUCCGGAAAGGGAGAGACCGGAAGAUCCCGCGGAGUCCCCGAAACAUGCCCUGGCGUGGAGAUAGGGACCCGAGGGCAAGGGACCCAAGGUUGGAGCUCUGCGCGCCGGGCCCUGCAGCGAGUCCCCGCUCCCCGGGGCGCUCACCUUGCGGCCGUUCACAUAGAAGAGCAGCUCGGAGGCCGGUUCCAUGGCGGCAGACGGGUCGGGUCCGGGCGGCCUGAGCUCCGGGGGCUGCGGGACAGGGCGUGGGGAGUUUUCAGUCCUCCCAUACACACCUCAGGCUCUGGGGGGAAAACGUCUGCCCUCUUAUACACCUGCGCUCCGGGUGGGUUGAGAAACUUUGGCAAAUAUGUAACUGGCUGGGGCGCGGUCCUCUCCAGGGCGCACAGGGUCCGGGCCACGCCCCUGCUGGCCACUGAGCCUCCAGGGUCAGCGCUGCAACACCGCCUGAUCGGUUUCCUAUGAUUGCAUUCUUUAAAGUCGCUUUUCAGCUCUUUGUGAGGUCCUCCCCGUCCAUCAGACCUGCCACACUAAGUACCA